This is a small nucleolar RNA of Tachyglossus aculeatus (Australian echidna), 72 nucleotides long. RefSeq annotates it as small nucleolar RNA SNORD26. The transcript has a single exon. Lineage: Eukaryota; Metazoa; Chordata; Mammalia; Monotremata; Tachyglossidae. The record is from RefSeq and is a predicted model, not a curated record.
CUGCAGGGAUGAUAAAAUGAACUCUCUCUUUCUGAUGGUUCAGUGGAGAAGUUUUAGUAAUUUCUGAGUGGC